UGACAAGUGUAUAAUAUUCCUAGGAUAUACG
This 31-nucleotide non-coding RNA is filed under the name Mus musculus (house mouse). The record is from RNAcentral. Lineage: Eukaryota; Metazoa; Chordata; Mammalia; Rodentia; Muridae.